This 1367-nucleotide long non-coding RNA is filed under the name Salvia miltiorrhiza (redroot sage). RNAcentral's name for it is "long non-coding RNA (SMIL_LNC006622)". Lineage: Eukaryota; Viridiplantae; Streptophyta; Magnoliopsida; Lamiales; Lamiaceae. The record is from RNAcentral.
AACAGAGCAUGAAAUACAAAAAUAUAAAAUAUUCAAGAUCGCAUAACAUAUAAAACAAGUUAAUAACAAUAAAUGUUCAACUUGUUAAAAAAAUAAAAACAAAAUAUUCAACAAUAAUUUGAAAUUAAGGAAACAAAGCAUCUAAAAAAUUAAUAUAAAGUCUAAACAUUUGAGUAACACUCUUCUUCAACAUUGAUAAUAUUUGGUGCUUCAACUUGAUCCAUGUCUUCUUGCUCAUCAUCUUCAUUCUUCACCAUCUAUUAAAAGAAAACAAUAUAAUUAAAGCAUAAUAUAGUUCGAUAAUUUGAAACACAAUAACAAAAAGGGAAUCUUACAUAAGUGUGUCCACAAUGUUUAUUUGAAACAAUGAAGCAAUGAAACAAGCCAUUAAUCAACAGCAAGCUAAAUCCUUAUAUGCAGAACAUAGUUUAACCAUACGAAAAAACUACCUUGUUUCACAGUAGAGCCUACCUCAAAAUUUUCAACAUUAACUAAACUUGCGAAUUGAAACUUUUGCAAAGGGUAAUUACAACAGAACAUCCGAACUUCAUGAGACUAUAUGAUCUUUUCCAAAUAUCAGUAGGCUAGUUAUCUUAACUUUACAAAACUCGCACUUUGCCACUUUGAGGUCUAUAUUUUUCAAGAUUUCAAACAGCAUUGGCUCAAAAACUAUAUGAACAAAAACUUAAAAAUUUAAAUUUAAAAUAAAUAAAAUGAAGCAACCAACAUUCAACAAGUUCAGGUGAGCGGCAGACGGCAGUUGCAGAAAAAANAAUAGUAAAUUACUAUAUUAAAAUGAAACUAAAAAUGCUUGAAAAAUUACUCACCGGAGUAGAUGGAGUGAGCGGCAAUUGCGGCGGACUAGAAGCAGCAGACGACGGCGAUAGCUGCUCAGUUCAGGUGGGAAGAGGCGCGGCGGUGGGAGAUGGAGAGGAGUCGAGGCGCGAUGGCGUGGCCCGCUGGGCUCAGGUGGGAAGCGGCGUGGUUCGGUGGUUGCCUGGUGGGAGACAGAUUGGGUUGGAUGCGCCGGAGAGGGGAGGCGCGACGCGGCGGCGUGGCUGGAGGUGGUGACUGGUGCGGUGUCGGAGGUAGAAGAAUGGAAGAGUGGAGGCGCGGCUGAACUGAGGUCUGAAGCAAUUCAAUUUCAAACCCUAAAAUUUUAGUAUUUUUAAUUUUUUUUUAAAUCGAGUAACCCGACGGGCUGGCCCGACAACCCGACGGGCUGGCCUGCUUCAACCCGCCAGCCCGAACGGGCUAGCCCGAUUAGCCCGAUUUGUUAUCGGGUUGUGAUUUUUCAGCCCUAACCCUCUAAUUUUGUCGGGUUAUUCGGGUCGGCCCACGGGUUUCGGGUUGGAUUGACAUCCCUA